CGAGCGACACGCCGCCCUCGCCGUCCAGUGGCAGCUCCCCGACAACGCCGGGUGGAGGUGGAGGCUACACGCCGACACCGAGCGACACGCCGCCCUCGCCGUCCAGUGGCAGCUCUCCCACUACACCGGGUGGAUGCUCCACUCCCACGCCGUGCGGCAUGCCGCCCGCGCCGUCGAGUGGCACCUCUCCGACCACACCGGGUGGAAGCUACUACCCGCCCACGCCGUCCAUUGGCGACGUGCCACCCUCGCCGUCCAGCGACACCUCUCCGACCACACCGGGCGGAGGCUCCCGUCCACGCCAUGCGACACGCCGCCCUUGCCGUCCAGUGGCACGUCCCCGACCACGCCAGGUGGAGGCUACUACCCGCCCACGCCAUCCGUCGGCGACGUGCCUCCCUCGCCGGCCAGUGGCACCUCCCCAUCCACGCCAGGUAGUGGAGGCUACUCUCCGUCCACGCCAUGCAGUGCGCCGCCGUUGCCUUCAAGUGGAACCUCCCCAACCACGCCGGGUGGAGGCUAUUCUCCUUCCACGCCGUGCAAUGCGCCGCCCUCCCCUUCAAGUGACACCUCCCCGACG
This 580-nucleotide long non-coding RNA is filed under the name Oryza sativa (Asian cultivated rice). RNAcentral describes it as "long non-coding RNA (OSAT_LNC001794)". Lineage: Eukaryota; Viridiplantae; Streptophyta; Magnoliopsida; Poales; Poaceae. The record is from RNAcentral.